RNAcentral lists this ribosomal RNA (462 nucleotides) under Vreelandella stevensii. RNAcentral describes it as "partial 16S ribosomal RNA". It matches the Rfam family "Bacterial small subunit ribosomal RNA", at positions 338 to 795 of the family's 1533-position model. Lineage: Bacteria; Pseudomonadati; Pseudomonadota; Gammaproteobacteria; Oceanospirillales; Halomonadaceae. The record is from RNAcentral.
CCUACGGGUGGCUGUGGGGAAUAUUGGACAAUGGGCGAAAGCCUGAUCCAGCCAUGCCGCGUGUGUGAAGAAGGCCUUCGGGUUGUAAAGCACUUUCAGUGGGGAAGAAAGCCUUGGGGCUAAUACCCUCGAGGAAGGACAUCACCCACAGAAGAAGCACCGGCUAACUCCGUGCCAGCAGCCGCGGUAAUACGGAGGGUGCGAGCGUUAAUCGGAAUUACUGGGCGUAAAGCGCGCGUAGGCGGUCUGAUAAGCCGGUUGUGAAAGCCCCGGGCUCAACCUGGGAACGGCAUCCGGAACUGUCAGGCUAGAGUGCAGGAGAGGAAGGUAGAAUUCCCGGUGUAGCGGUGAAAUGCGUAGAGAUCGGGAGGAAUACCAGUGGCGAAGGCGGCCUUCUGGACUGACACUGACGCUGAGGUGCGAAAGCGUGGGUAGCAAACAGGAUUAGAUACCCCAGUAGUC